GGCGGAUGUAGCCAAUUGGAUAAGGGCGGUGGAUUGUGAA
RNAcentral lists this transfer RNA (40 nucleotides) under Butea monosperma (flame-of-the-forest). Its description in RNAcentral is "partial tRNA-His". The record is from RNAcentral. Lineage: Eukaryota; Viridiplantae; Streptophyta; Magnoliopsida; Fabales; Fabaceae.